ACCGCCAGGUUUUCUUUGUCGGGCGCGGUGUAGUUUCCCCUUUUCAUCUGGGAGCAGAGAGCGAGAAGGAGGAACAGGCGCUCGUGCAGCGGAGUAGAGGACGCGAUUUUGUCUGUUCAUGUCGAUUCCGAGUUUCCCCACCGCUCGAGCUUGAUUUCCCCUCCCUUUCUCUUCGAUCCACGGUUGCCGCGGUGCUUUGUGGUCCAGGAAAGGGAAAAGGAGCGUGGGCGACAGGUUCAAGAGGGUUUUGUGAUAGUUGCAUGGUUUUGUUUUGGUUAAGUUAGAACUGGGUCAGAUUUUUAGCUGCCCGAUCUGUUUUUUUAGAAAUGCAAACAUAAAAUUGUUGAUGGUAUUGGGAUAUACAGGUGUCAACACUUAUUUAUGAUCUGCCCAUUACUGUCUCCCCCGUGUGUGUCGUUUCCUUUUCCUUUUCUUCCUUUUGACACUUUCCUCAUUUCAUUUGGGUGGUACGUACUAUUUCGAAAGGGCAGAGGGGCAGAGGAGGUGCUCGAGCGGCGGAGGAGUCGAGGCGAUUCCAUCGGGUUCCUGGCGUUUCCGAGAUCCCUCUCUACUGGAGCUUGUUUCCUCUUCGAUUCCCUGCCUUCCUGGUUAGUUCUUCUUGUCUCUCUAUCUUCUCGCGUGCGAUUUGCCAUGGUUGUGGUCGUGUAACUUCCAGAUCUAGGUCUGGGGAUUGUUUGUACUAGUGUGUUUGUGGGUUUGUGUUGGAGAUUUUGUUGCUGUUUGAGUAUUUAGCGGUUGGUUCUGCUUCGUGGCUCGUGUAGUUUCAUGUGGAUCCCAUAUGCUCACGUCAGUUGUUAAUAUUUGUGGAUCCCGUGUGCUCGCGCUGCUAGGUUUUGGGUGUUCUCGUUUUGAUCCUCUCGUUGUAACCGUGGUUUGGUUACUCAUUUAUAAAUUUUUUCGAUUGAUGUGUUGGUCCUCUGGUAGGGUUAGAGUUUGUGUUUUUUCCCGAGAUAGGCGUGUCUCUGUGUUGAGUCUUCUUGCACAUCCCCUGCAGUUGCAGCUACCAUCUGGUAGGGUCAGGUUUUAGGUAGCAGUGCUAAUUUGGGGGUUAUAAUUGUUUAGACCUAGGCGUGCACUAUAAUUGUCUAGCUUUGCUUUGUAAUUCAUGCCUUUUGACUAUAGUAGCUUUACUCUAUAAUUUUCCUCAGUUUUGCACUGUACUCUGCAGUAACCAUGGCAAUUAUAGUGUAGUCAUUCUGUACUUUUCAUUGUAAUUUCACCGAAAGUAGUCUGUAAGUAAGUACACUGUAAUUUCCCUCAAUGUACUCCGUAAUCCAUGGUAAUUACGCUGUAAUUUCCCUCAAUGUGCACUGUAAUAUCCAUGGCAAUUACACUCUAAUUUCCCUCUAUGUACACUGUAAUUUCCAUAUAGUAUUUACACUGUAAUUUCCCUGAAUGCACACUGAAUGCACACUGUAAUAUGCAUGGUAUUUACACUGUGAUUUCCCUAUAGUAUUUACACUUUUUUUGACAGAAAUAUAGUAUUUACACUGUAAUUUCCCUCAAUGUACAAUGUAAUAUGCAUGGUAUUUUCACUAUAAUAUGCCAGUGUAAUUUCCCUAAAGUAAACUGUAUAAUUGCUUUGUAAUUCAUGUGCUUUUUGCACUGUAAUCUCCCAUUUUCACUGUAAUUCCUGUGCUUUCUUGAUUGUAUGCCUUGAUUACUCUGUAAUUUAUGUCAGGUUUGCACUGUAAUUUCUUAUGUUUUUAGUGUAAUUUGCAUUAGUUUACACUGUAAUGUGCCCUAUUUGCAUUAGUUUUACUUGCAUUGUAACCCCCCCCCCCCCCCCUGUUUGCUCUGUAAUUUCCUCUGUAUAUACCCAAGAGUUUAAUUAUAAUUUUGACUG
Molecule: long non-coding RNA, 1867 nt
Organism: Triticum aestivum (bread wheat)
Lineage: Eukaryota; Viridiplantae; Streptophyta; Magnoliopsida; Poales; Poaceae
Exons: 2
Source: RefSeq, a predicted model, not a curated record